CUUGAAAAAAAUGUUGCUCUCACUAAAGAACAACUAAAGGAGCUGUUGAAAGAAAAAGAACAAAUAUUUGAUAUUAUAACUGAUUAUGAUAAGGAACGAAAAGCUAAUCUUGCAGUUAAUGAAUUACCUGUAAUUGAAAUAUUGAAAAAAAAGCUACAAGAUACUGACCUUAAAGAAAAAGACUUGCUAAUAGCGAAACUAGUGAAGGAAAAACAAGACAGAAGCAAAGUGACUAGUUCUAUUGGACUACAAUUUAAUUACCUGAUCCCUUCAAUGGGUAAGAGUA
Molecule: long non-coding RNA, 286 nt
Organism: Amphimedon queenslandica
Lineage: Eukaryota; Metazoa; Porifera; Demospongiae; Haplosclerida; Niphatidae
Exons: 3
Source: RefSeq, a predicted model, not a curated record